RNAcentral lists this ribosomal RNA (253 nucleotides) under uncultured bacterium. Its description in RNAcentral is "partial 16S ribosomal RNA". It matches the Rfam family "Bacterial small subunit ribosomal RNA", at positions 524 to 776 of the family's 1533-position model. The record is from RNAcentral.
UACAGAGGCCUCGAGCGUUAGGCGGAAUCACUGGGCUUAAAGCGUGUGUAGGCGGACUUCUAAGUACCUUGUGAAAUCCCACGGCUCACCCGUGGAACUGCUGGGUAUACUGGUCGUCUUGAGCCUUCUAGGGGCUACCGGAACAAAUGGUGGAGCGGUGAAAUGCGUAGAUAUCGUCUGGAACGCCGAAGGUGAAAACAGCUCGCUGGGAUUGUGCUGACGCUGAGACACGAAAGCCAGGGGAGCGAACGGG